GAUGAACGCUGGCGGCGUGCCUAAUACAUGCAAGUCGAGCGAACGGACGAGAAGCUUGCUUCUCUGAUGUUAGCGGCGGACGGGUGAGUAACACGUGGAUAACCUACCUAUAAGACUGGGAUAACUUCGGGAAACCGGAGCUAAUACCGGAUAAUAUUUUGAACCGCAUGGUUCAAAAGUGAAAGACGGUCCUGCUGUCACUUAUAGAUGGAUCCGCGCUGCAUUAGCUAGUUGGUAAGGUAACGGCUUACCAAGGCAACGAUGCAUAGCCGACCUGAGAGGGUGAUCGGCCACACUGGAACUGAGACACGGUCCAGACUCCUACGGGAGGCAGCAGUAGGGAAUCUUCCGCAAUGGGCGAAAGCCUGACGGAGCAACGCCGCGUGAGUGAUGAAGGUCUUCGGAUCGUAAAACUCUGUUAUGAGGGAAGAACAUAUGUGUAAGUAACUGUGCACAUCUUGACGGUACCUAAUCAGAAAGCCACGGCUAACUACGUG
This 497-nucleotide ribosomal RNA is filed under the name uncultured bacterium. Its description in RNAcentral is "partial 16S ribosomal RNA". It matches the Rfam family "Bacterial small subunit ribosomal RNA", at positions 28 to 507 of the family's 1533-position model. The record is from RNAcentral.